This 293-nucleotide non-coding RNA is filed under the name Trichobilharzia regenti. RNAcentral describes it as "Eukaryotic small subunit ribosomal RNA". It matches the Rfam family "Eukaryotic small subunit ribosomal RNA", at positions 1229 to 1478 of the family's 1831-position model. The record is from Rfam by way of RNAcentral. Lineage: Eukaryota; Metazoa; Platyhelminthes; Trematoda; Strigeidida; Schistosomatidae.
AGCUGCGAGGAUUGACAGAUUGAAAGCUCUUUCUUGAUUCGGUGGAUGGUGUUGCAUGGCCGUUCUUAGUUGGUGGAGCGAUUUGUCUGGUUAAUUCCUCUAACGAACGAGACUUUAACCUACUAAAUAGUGGACUGGUCCUCUGUAAUCAUUCACGGCUUCUAUUGUUUCUUUAUGGAGUAGUGUGGUCGUGAUCCGGUGGGUACGGUGCCAGUUUUAACUUCUUAGAGGAACUGACGGCACAUUGAAGUCGUACGAAAUUGAUCAAUAACAAGUCUGUGAUGCCCUUGGAU